RNAcentral lists this ribosomal RNA (253 nucleotides) under uncultured bacterium. Its description in RNAcentral is "partial 16S ribosomal RNA". It matches the Rfam family "Bacterial small subunit ribosomal RNA", at positions 524 to 776 of the family's 1533-position model. The record is from RNAcentral.
UACGUGGGGGGCAAGCGUUGUUCGGAAUUACUGGGCGUAAAGGGCUCGUAGGCGGCCAACUAAGUCAGACGUGAAAUCCCUCGGCUUAACCGGGGAACUGCGUCUGAUACUGGAUGGCUUGAGUUUGGGAGAGGGAUGCGGAAUUCCAGGUGUAGCGGUGAAAUGCGUAGAUAUCUGGAGGAACACCGGUGGCGAAGGCGGCGUCCUGGACCAAUACUGACACUGAGGAGCGAAAGCCAGGGGAGCAAACGGG